This 834-nucleotide ribosomal RNA is filed under the name Triticum aestivum (bread wheat). RNAcentral describes it as "partial small subunit ribosomal RNA". The record is from RNAcentral. Lineage: Eukaryota; Viridiplantae; Streptophyta; Magnoliopsida; Poales; Poaceae.
AUGGGGGCGGGAGGGGCGUGGGCCAAGGGGCCGCCCGCGGCGGAGCGCUGUGCCAGGCGCGGCGGCAGGGGACCCGUGGAGGACGGGGCGCGCGUGCAGUGGGUGUUCGUCAGCUGCCCCGGGGUGGGCAAGGCCACCUACGCCGGCCGCCUAUCGCGGCUCCACGGCGUGCCCCACAUCAACACCGGAGCUCUCCUCCGAAAGCCCCCUCUGCAGCGCGCCGCCACCAUCAGCCCCACCCACCGCGCGCCGCCACCAUCAGCCCCCGCCGUCGGCCAACCCCCCGCCGUGGAGCGCCGCCACCGCCUACCCUCCUCCCAUCGGGACCCCCCUGGAUCCAAAAAUCCAUCCACCCAGUCCUCGCCGCGAUUUCUAAAUCGAACCUACCGGCAGCCGGCGUACUGGCGGGGUGUGGGGAGAGAUCCAGAUGGUGACGGCGGACCAGAGGUCGGAGGCAGCGAGGUCCGACAGAGAAGGGCGAGGUGCGGCAGAGGAGGCGAGGGGUGGGCUGGUGUUGGCGACGAACAGCGGCUGGGUCGGGCGCUCGGUGAGGCAGAGGCGCGGGGGCACAGCUGCGCAGGGAGGCUGCCACCGCCGAGACAACCCCUCAGCACGCCAAUGCCCGCGGGCCACAGACGCGGCGGCCUUGACAUCUCAUCGAUGACGCACAUCGGCGUGCUGCUUGAGCGUGAGGGCAAGGAAAACAUCGAGCAAGCGGUCAUCCGGAAGGCGGCGGCGCAGAGCCUCGUGGAGCAUGCAGAGGAGGAGAUGCAUCUGAAACGCCUUACCAUGAGCAGACUGCCGAAAUUCUUCAUAGAGGCCUCCACUGACUGA